CCUACGGGAGGCAGCAGUGGGGAAUAUUGCACAAUGGGCGAAAGCCUGAUGCAGCAACGCCGCGUGAGGGAUGAAGGCCUUCGGGUUGUAAACCUCUUUUAGCAGGGAAGAAGCGAAAGUGACGGUACCUGCAGAAAAAGCACCGGCUAACUACGUGCCAGCAGCCGCGGUAAUACGUAGGGUGCAAGCGUUGUCCGGAAUUAUUGGGCGUAAAGAGCUCGUAGGCGGUUUGUCGCGUCUGCUGUGAAAACCUGAGGCUCAACCUCAGGCCUGCAGUGGGUACGGGCAAGCUAGAGUGCGGUAGGGGAGAUGGGAAUUCCUGGUGUAGCGGUGGAAUGCGCAGAUAUCAGGAGGAACACCGAUGGCGAAGGCACAUCUCUGGGCCGUAACUGACGCUGAGGAGCGAAAGCGUGGGGAGCGAACAGGAUUAGAUACCCUGGUAGUCCACGCCGUAAACGGUGGGUGCUAGUUGUGGGUUCCAUUCCACGGAAUCCGUGACGAAGUUAACACAUUAAGCACCCCGCCUGGGGAGUACGGUCGCAAGACUAAAACUCAAAGGAAUUGACGG
This 568-nucleotide ribosomal RNA is filed under the name uncultured bacterium. Its description in RNAcentral is "bacterial SSU rRNA". It matches the Rfam family "Bacterial small subunit ribosomal RNA", at positions 338 to 916 of the family's 1533-position model. The record is from RNAcentral.